This 316-nucleotide ribosomal RNA is filed under the name Corynascus sp. BAB-3293. RNAcentral describes it as "eukaryotic LSU rRNA". The stretch from base 1 to 99 matches the Rfam family "5.8S ribosomal RNA", at positions 56 to 154 of the family's 154-position model. The record is from RNAcentral. Lineage: Eukaryota; Fungi; Ascomycota; Sordariomycetes; Sordariales; Chaetomiaceae.
CGAUACUUGGUGUGAAUUGCAGAAUUCAGUGAAUCAUCGAAUCUUUGAACGCACAUUGCGCCCGCCAGUAUUCUGGCGGGCAUGCCUGUUCGAGCGUCAUUUCAACCAUCAAGCCCCCGGCUUGUGUUGGGGACCUGCGGCUGCCCGCAGGCCCUGAAAACCAGUGGCGGGCUCGCUGUCACACCGAGCGUAGUAGCAUAAUUCUCGCGUCAGGGCGUGCUGCGGGUUCGCGGCCGUUAAACGACCUUCAUAACCCAAGGUUGACCUCGGAUCAGGUAGGAAGACCCGCUGAACUUAAGCAUAUCAAUAAGCGGAG